Molecule: ribosomal RNA, 285 nt
Filed under: uncultured rumen protozoa
Lineage: Eukaryota
Description: partial 18S ribosomal RNA
Rfam family: Eukaryotic small subunit ribosomal RNA
Source: RNAcentral
GGUGGUGCAUGGCCGUUCUUAGUUGGUGGAGUGAUUCGUCUGGUUAAUUCCGAUAACGAACGAGACCUUAACCUGCUAACUAGUUCUCAAUACUCUGUAUUCUGCAACUUCUUAGAGGGACUAUGUAAAUCAAUUACAUGGAAGUUUGAGGCAAUAACAGGUCAGUGAUGCCCUUAUAUGUCCUGGGCUGCACGCGUGCUACACUGAUGCAUGCAACAAGUGCCUAACCAGACAUGGCAUGGCAAUCUCGAAUAUGCAUCGUGAUGGGGAUAGAUCUUUGCAAUU